GACGAACGCUGGCGGCGUGCUUAACACAUGCAAGUCGAACGGAAAGGCCCUGCUUGCAGGGUACUCGAGUGGCGAACGGGUGAGUAACACGUGGGUGAUCUGCCCUGCACUUCGGGAUAAGCCUGGGAAACUGGGUCUAAUACCGGAUAGGAGCCAUUUUUAGUGUGAUGGUUGGAAAGUUUUUUCGGUGUAGGAUGAGCUCGCGGCCUAUCAGCUUGUUGGUGGGGUAAUGGCCUACCAAGGCGGCGACGGGUAGCCGGCCUGAGAGGGUGGACGGCCACAUUGGGACUGAGAUACGGCCCAGACUCCGAAGGGAGGCAGCAGUGGGGAAUAUUGCACAAUGGGCGCAAGCCUGAUGCAGCGGCGCCGCGGGGGGGAUGACGGCCUUCGGGUUGUAAACUCCUUUCGCUAGGGACGAAGCUUUUUGUGACGGUACCUAGAUAAGAAGCACCGGCUAACUACGUG
RNAcentral lists this ribosomal RNA (465 nucleotides) under uncultured bacterium. RNAcentral describes it as "partial 16S ribosomal RNA". It matches the Rfam family "Bacterial small subunit ribosomal RNA", at positions 28 to 507 of the family's 1533-position model. The record is from RNAcentral.